Long non-coding RNA from Prionailurus viverrinus (fishing cat), 1737 nucleotides. RefSeq lists it as uncharacterized. The record is from RefSeq and is a predicted model, not a curated record. The transcript has 2 exons. Lineage: Eukaryota; Metazoa; Chordata; Mammalia; Carnivora; Felidae.
AAAGAAGAGUUUUCUAACAACUAGAUCUAAUUGAAAUAGAAUGUCCUCCCCUCCCCCCCCCCCCCCAGAGUGAGUUCUUAGUUAUCAGAGUAUGGACAGAAUUCAUGCACUAGGGAAGAGUUAAAUGGGAUGAGGUAUCAUAGAGAUAUCCAGGGGUGAUAUGCUAUGAUUCUAGAAAUUACUCACAUAACACUUAUGCACCAGCACAGCCUUGAAUUAUUAUAACUAAUUGUAAAUUUGGAUUCUCUUCUCCUUUUUCCUUACUAGUUCACUCAUGGGGGCUAACUUAGUGUUUUGCACUUGAGCACUUGACAAAUGUCUACCAAAUAAAUGAAUGGUAGACACUCAAAUAUUUUUGAUGAUGGUGAUGAUAUGCUCAAUAAAAAUGACUAGAUUAAUAAAGAAGAAUGUUAAGUAUCAGCAAUUUUUUUUCUCAUACUAUUUAUUAACAAAAGCAAUUCUUCCUGAUUUGGUAAUAUUUCUCUUUAGCAUUCUUUACAUAUGAGUUGAACACAAUAUGCUGAACAGCCUUGAGGCAUCUCCCAGUUUGAGAAAGAGCAAUAUAGUUUACAUUUUACAAAGGAUGCUCACAUCCAUUAUUUAUUUAUAAUGCUCAAUAUAACUCAUAUAACUCAAUGAAGCUGACAUUUUCCAAAUGAGGAAACAGGGCCCAGAGAUAGAAAGGGACUUGCUCAAGGACACAAAGCCAGUAAGUACAGAAACUGAACCAAGGAUAAGGUCCAUUAAUUCUAACAUGCACUCUCUUUCCACUAUAUGUCAAAUGCCUCUGACAAAGGCCCCAUGUGAAAAAAAGAGUUACAUGCUUUUAUUUGGCUGAUUUGGUCAGACCUACCUACUCCUCAUUUUUCCCAUGUGCCUGUCUUCCUAGAAUCCUGCACUCAAUAAACCAAUUGUUCACAGAAGAUAUGGUUCUGGGUUUUGCCUGGAUGCUGAGUUGAUGGUGAUGCUAUGUGAAUAUGACCACAACAUAACUUGUCUUUAUAAAUAUCCAUUCCUUGCAGGCUUGUGAAACUACUCACUUGAAGUCUGAGUCCAUUUGGCAGGAAGACAGGGACAGGGCAGCUGUAAGUUGGCACAGUUACCCUAGGCUAGUCCAUCGCAAGCCACCUCACUUAAAGGAGGACUGGAAGCUGGUGCUGUAGUUUAAUACCAGGACUGCUGGCAGUUCCCACCUUGUGACCUGGGAUUGCAAGGUGAUCUGUGAAGGGAAGCUUUGAAAUAUCAUCAGACAUCCUCUGAGGGUCCUAGUCAUGGUAGUUUACCACAUGGUAUUUGGACAAGUUAGAGGGAGAACAAGUAAUGGAAACACCCUUCUUCAGCAAAGCUUCUUGGAAACAGAAUUGGGAUAAGCAGAUGGUGAAUGUCACACUGGAUCAGCUGCAAUGGAGAGACACCAUGGGAGAGUCUCAAUGGACCCUCUGUUGUCCACCCUUGGCAUUAGGUAGUGACUCAGAUCUGACUUAGGCUGCUUUUAUGUAGCAACUACUGAACACGGCUAUUGCUUUUGAUGAAAAGAGCCCUGUGGAUUGUUUUUGAUCUGCAUAUUAACAAAGAAGAAAAAGACAGCCAGGUUAUUUCUUAGGAGCAGCAAGAAAGAUUUUCCCUUAAAGAUGUGCAAGACACAUCUCUGCUGGAACGCGCGCGCACACACACACACACACACACAAUGAAACAAAAUGAAACAAAACAAAAUAAAACAAAUGCAAAACCCUUUCA